UGUGUGCUAAUGAGUUGACUGAUGGCUAGC
This 30-nucleotide non-coding RNA is filed under the name Homo sapiens (human). The record is from RNAcentral. Lineage: Eukaryota; Metazoa; Chordata; Mammalia; Primates; Hominidae.